GACGAACGCUGGCGGCGUGCUUAACACAUGCAAGUCGAGCGGUAAGGCCCUUUCGGGGGUACACGAGCGGCGAACGGGUGAGUAACACGUGGGUGACCUGCCUUUAGCUCUGGGAUAAGCCUGGGAAACUGGGUCUAAUACCGGAUAUGACUCCGCGGUGCAUGCUGUGGGGUGGAAAGCCUUGUGCGGCUGGAGAUGGGCCCGCGGCCUAUCAGCUUGUUGGUGGGGUGAUGGCCUACCAAGGCGACGACGGGUAGCCGGCCUGAGAGGGCGACCGGCCACACUGGGACUGAGACACGGCCCAGACUCCUACGGGAGGCAGCAGUGGGGAAUCUUGCGCAAUGGGC
This 347-nucleotide ribosomal RNA is filed under the name uncultured bacterium. RNAcentral's name for it is "bacterial SSU rRNA". It matches the Rfam family "Bacterial small subunit ribosomal RNA", at positions 28 to 376 of the family's 1533-position model. The record is from RNAcentral.